AAGGUCCACUUGCAGUGAAAUAAACCAGAGGUUUGAAUCAUGGCUUGAUACGAAAUUAUUGGAAAGAAUAUGGCGAUGACAUCCACAAUGCCGGAUAAAGAAAAUAUUUAGAAGAUGAGAUUCCUGUGUUUCUGGCUUUCAUACAAAAGCCUCGACUCAGGAACCUUCUGGGGGACUGGGAACCUUUGGGACCCUGAACUGGAACCGGAACUGGAGCUGGAGCUAGAGACAUAGCCACAGCCACAGCCUGGGCCUUGGUUUGACUGAGCCUUGGCCUUGGCUUCUGGCAAGCAGAGCCUGAGACCUCUGGAGACGCAGGCACAAGGAUGCCUUCCAAACUUGGGGUGGGCGAUAGUGCACACCUUCUACUUAUUAAAAAAAAAAACAAACUGUAAAACAGCAUCAUGCAGGUUCUUCAGGAGAGAUUCCAGAGGAAGGCAUUGUUGUGGUAGAAGAUGACAGUUCCACAGGUGUUACUAGCCAUGAAGAUCUUCCAGUGAGACAAGAUGUGGAGGUGGAAGACAGUGAUAUUGAUGAUUCUGAUCCUGUUGUUAUAAAUAAAGUUUCGGUUCCACAAAAGAAA
This 583-nucleotide long non-coding RNA is filed under the name Homo sapiens (human). RNAcentral's name for it is "long intergenic non-protein coding RNA 1919". The record is from RNAcentral. Lineage: Eukaryota; Metazoa; Chordata; Mammalia; Primates; Hominidae.